GGGUCCGGACACACUGAGGAUUGACAGAUAUACGCUCAUUGCUGCGUGCUUCGGCGCGUGCUUUGAGCUGAAAGAUGCUAGUUCUUUCAUGAUUAUGUGAUAGGUGGUGCAUGGCCGUUCUUAGUUCGUGGAGUGAUCUGUCUGCUUAAUUGCGUAUCAAUAAUAGAGACCUAGUAUACGCGUGGAUUUCGCGUGGUAGUGACCCCCUGUUUAACGACAGGCGUGUGUCGCACACGCGUACCUACGCACUGGUCUCAGAUAGCAACGAACGUGACCGUAUUCUAUUGUUGCAGUGAAAUGUGCCUUCUGGGUACGACCCACUGCUUAGUAUAUGUACGUGCUUCGGCGCGAACAAUAUACAUUAAACUAUAGAGACCGCUGUUUCUUCUUUAAACCAGAGGAAGGAUACGGCAAUAACAGGUCUGUGAUGCCCUCAGAUGUUCCGGGCUGCACACGUGCUACAAUGAUCAUUGCACUGUGCAUCUAACCCAAUGUGCGUGGACGCCGCAUGCAUGUGCCUUCGGGUACACGCAUUGCUGUUGCGACCACGCCGAACCUACUUCGAAAGUAAAAUUUCUCAGUGGGU
This 586-nucleotide ribosomal RNA is filed under the name Ammonia sp. genotype T2. Its description in RNAcentral is "bacterial SSU rRNA". The stretch from base 1 to 462 matches the Rfam family "Eukaryotic small subunit ribosomal RNA", at positions 1220 to 1501 of the family's 1831-position model. Lineage: Eukaryota; Foraminifera; Rotaliida; Rotaliidae. The record is from RNAcentral.